Molecule: ribosomal RNA, 717 nt
Filed under: uncultured bacterium
Lineage: Bacteria
Description: bacterial SSU rRNA
Rfam family: Bacterial small subunit ribosomal RNA
Source: RNAcentral
GGAUAACACUUGGAAACAGGUGCUAAUACCGCAUAACCAUAGUUACCGCAUGGUAACUAUGUAAAAGGUGGCUAUGCUACCGCUUUUGGAUGGGCCCGCGGCGCAUUAGCUAGUUGGUGGGGUAAAGGCUUACCAAGGCAAUGAUGCGUAGCCGAACUGAGAGGUUGAUCGGCCACAUUGGGACUGAGACACGGCCCAAACUCCUACGGGAGGCAGCAGUAGGGAAUCUUCCACAAUGGGCGAAAGCCUGAUGGAGCAACGCCGCGUGGGUGAAGAAGGUCUUCGGAUCGUAAAACCCUGUUGUUAGAGAAGAAAGUGCGUGAGAGUAACUGUUCACGUUUCGACGGUAUCUAACCAGAAAGCCACGGCUAACUACGUGCCAGCAGCCGCGGUAAUACGUAGGUGGCAAGCGUUAUCCGGAUUUAUUGGGCGUAAAGGGAACGCAGGCGGUCUUUUAAGUCUGAUGUGAAAGCCUUCGGCUUAACCGGAGUAGUGCAUUGGAAACUGGGAGACUUGAGUGCAGAAGAGGAGAGUGGAACUCCAUGUGUAGCGGUGAAAUGCGUAGAUAUAUGGAAGAACACCAGUGGCGAAAGCGGCUCUCUGGUCUGUAACUGACGCUGAGGUUCGAAAGCGUGGGUAGCAAACAGGAUUAGAUACCCUGGUAGUCCACGCCGUAAACGAUGAAUGCUAAGUGUUGGAGGGUUUCCGCCCUUCAGU